UAGGGAAUAUUGGGCAAUGGGCGGAAGCCUGACCCAGCCAUGCCGCGUGCAGGAUGAAGGCCUUCUGGGUUGUAAACUGCUUUUAUCGGGGAAGAAAACGCCCAUGCGUGGGAAACUGACGGUACCCGAGGAAUAAGCACCGGCUAACUCCGUGCCAGCAGCCGCGGUAAUACGGAGGGUGCAAGCGUUGUCCGGAUUUAUUGGGUUUAAAGGGUGCGUAGGCGGCCCCUUAAGUCAGCGGUGAAAGCCCGGGGCUCAACCCCGGAACCGCCGCUGAUACUGGGGGGCUUGAGUACAGACGAGGUAGGCGGAAUUGAGGGGUGUAGCGGUGAAAUGCUUAGAUACCCUCAAGAACACUGAUUGCGUAGGCAGCUUACUAGGCUGUGACUGACGCUGAGGCACGAAAGCGUGGGGGAGCGAACAGGAUUAGAUACCCUGGUAGUCCACGCCGUAAAACGAUGAUUACUCGAUGUCGGCGACAGACUGUCGGCGUCUUAGCGAAAGCGUUAAGUAAUCCACCUGGGGAGUACGCCCGCAAGGGUGAAACUCAAAGGAAUUGACGGGGUCAUAGCUGUUUCCUG
Molecule: ribosomal RNA, 581 nt
Filed under: uncultured bacterium
Lineage: Bacteria
Description: partial 16S ribosomal RNA
Rfam family: Bacterial small subunit ribosomal RNA
Source: RNAcentral